This 543-nucleotide unclassified non-coding RNA is filed under the name Hevea brasiliensis (rubber tree). Lineage: Eukaryota; Viridiplantae; Streptophyta; Magnoliopsida; Malpighiales; Euphorbiaceae. The record is from RNAcentral.
UUACCUCCAUGAAGGACCACCCACAAGAUAAUUACUGCCGCUGCUAUAACAUUAUAGAUAAAAACUAUAGCAAAACUCCACAGAAAAGUGACCAUAAGCCUCUUCCAAACUCUUGGCACCACGCUCAUCACCUUCUUGAAGGUGAUUGGCUUUGAAGUAUAUAUGCAAGCAAUAGUAUAAACAACUGCAGAAGUAGAGAGAAGGGAAAGUAUCAGAAGGACAAUGAAGUAGGCGAUCUUGAAAAGCCAGAAGGCAAUCCACUCGGAGGAGAUUUUAUGGGAAUUUUUGUGAUAGAGUCCGUUGCCAUAUUCUAAGCUAUCUUCAAUCUUGAAGAAAAGGACCUGGGAGAUUUGGAUAUGAGCAAGGAAGAGGAAGGAGAGAGGAAGAAUAAAAGCAAGGGUGAUCUGGCCAAAAAUUUUUCUCCAAGAAACUAUAAUCUUGAAGGAUUCUUUCAAGAUUCCAAAGAACCCAAGAAACUGAAGCUCUUGUUGCUCUCCGUCCAUGGUGAACUCUCUGCACAAAGAGAAUGAGUGAUACAAGGAG